AUGGUUAAAUUUAUGGAAUAUUUCACCGGAUAUGCACUAUCCUACCCAAUUACACAGGAAAUGAUUACUUCUUUCAGGUUUAAGUUAGCUAGCAUACUAUUAUGUUGCAAAACAAACACUGCAACAAUGACUACAAUCGUUGAAGAAAGUGACGAUGACACCAAGGGAGAUCCUGAUGAUGUUCAAAUAUUGGAAAGUUUAGAUAAUUAUAAAAAAACAAAACAAAAAUUACCAUUAUCUGUUGAAAAUAAAUACAGAUCACUAAUAUCAGUUCUUUCUAAUAUGACCUUACAUGAGUUAACAGCUGGACUCUGUAGCUUCAUUAAAUCAAUCAAUUACACCAAGAUUUUAGAGAAAGUAUGGAUCCAUAGUUCAAAACCAUAUCCAAUUAGCUUGUCUCUAAAAAAACUACAAGGAAUGCUAAAGGAUGAUUUACCCAUGGACCGAGAUUGCUUUAAUUUGAUCGUACGGAAGAUUAUGUUGGAUGACAUCCAAACGACACAAAAAAAGCAAUUGAUAGCAAAGCAUUAUCUGGACAUGAAAUUUUGGAUGACUACUGAUUAUGGAAGGCACCCAGAUUACCAUAAAAAGUUAGAUGUGGAGCAACUAGAAAAUUCGAUUCGUAGUUGGUCUGGUAUCAAUAUUUCAACAUUUAAAUCGAUCCAUAUUCCAGUACAAACCAUGGAUGAAUUCAUUCUAUUCACAUUGGACCAAGAUACCAGAAUAGUGUACAUUUUGGACCCUACUCCUAUUAAUCCAAUGUACCGAUACAACCCACUCGCAAAAUAUAUGAAAACAAUUAUAUGGAUUUCCGAACACUUACAAAAAGCAAUGUCAAAAGCAUGCCCUGGGUCUAGAUGGAACGAGGAUAUUCGCCUAUGGCAACAUAAAAUCCUAGAUGAUAUUCCAAUUUACAACAGGGAAUUGUCUGGUUAUCUUGUUCCCCUAUUCAUGUCCACAUGGGACGAAAGACCACAUUUGCCAUUUUUAAAGGAUGGAUAUGAACUCAGAAAACUAAUUUUGGGCCAAGUGCUAACAUUCAAGGACAAUGAAUGUGAAGAUAGCAUGCCUGCUGGUGUACUGGAAUUCAUCAAUUGUAUUAGGAAAAUCCAAAGUAAAACUGGUAUGUCAAAUAGUAUC
RNAcentral lists this ribosomal RNA (1140 nucleotides) under Triticum aestivum (bread wheat). Its description in RNAcentral is "partial small subunit ribosomal RNA". The record is from RNAcentral. Lineage: Eukaryota; Viridiplantae; Streptophyta; Magnoliopsida; Poales; Poaceae.